Molecule: ribosomal RNA, 976 nt
Filed under: uncultured bacterium
Lineage: Bacteria
Description: bacterial SSU rRNA
Rfam family: Bacterial small subunit ribosomal RNA
Source: RNAcentral
CGCUAUACAUGCAGUCGAACGAAGUAGCAAUACUUAGUGGCAGACGGGUGAGUAACAUGUGGGUAUCUUCCCUUUGGUGAGGAAUAACACGAGGAAACUUGUGCUAAUACCUCAUAAGUCUUUACGGAGAAAGCUUUAUGCGCCAUUGGAUGAGCCUGCACUUGAUUAGUUUGUUGGUGGGGUAAUGGCCUACCAAGACUUUGAUCAAUAGCUGAUUUGAGAGGAUGAUCAGCCACAUUGGGACUGAGACACGGCCCAAACUCCUACGGGAGGCAGCAGUAGGGAAUCUUGCACAAUGGAGGAAACUCUGAUGCAGCGAUGCCGCGUGAGUGAAGAAGGCCUUUGGGUUGUAAAGCUCUUUCGUCGGGGAAGAAAAUGACUGUACCCGAAUAAGAAGGUCCGGCUAACUUCGUGCCAGCAGCCGCGGUAAUACGAAGGGACCUAGCGUAGUUCGGAAUUACUGGGCUUAAAGAGUUCGUAGGUGGUUAAAAAAGUUGGUGGUGAAAGCCCAGAGCUUAACUCUGGAACUGCCAUCAAAACUUUUUAGCUAGAGUGUGAUAGAGGAAAGCAGAAUUUCUAGUGUAGAGGUGAAAUUCGUAGAUAUUAGAAAGAAUACCAAUUGCGAAGGCAGCUUUCUGGAUCAUUACUGACACUGAGGAACGAAAGCAUGGGUAGCGAAGAGGAUUAGAUACCCUCGUAGUCCAUGCCGUAAACGAUGUGUGUUAGAUGUUGGAAAUUUAUUUUCAGUAUCGCAGCGAAAGCGAUAAACACACCGCCUGGGGAGUACGACCGCAAGGUUAAAACUCAAAUGAAUUGACGGGGACCCGCACAAGUAGUGGAGCAUGUGGUUUAAUUCGAAGAUACGCGCAGAACCUUACCAACACUUGACAUGUUCGUCGCGACUCUAGAGAUUAGAGUUUUCGGUUCGGCCGGACGAAACACAGGUGCUGCAUGGCUGUCGUCAGCUCGUGUCGUG